AGUGAACGCUGGCGGUAGGCCUAACACAUGCAAGUCGAACGGCAGCACAGUAAGAGCUUGCUCUUACGGGUGGCGAGUGGCGGACGGGUGAGGAAUACAUCGGAAUCUACUUUUUCGUGGGGGAUAACGUAGGGAAACUUACGCUAAUACCGCAUACGACCUACGGGUGAAAGCAGGGGAUCUUCGGACCUUGCGCGAUUGAAUGAGCCGAUGUCGGAUUAGCUAGUUGGCGGGGUAAAGGCCCACCAAGGCGACGAUCCGUAGCUGGUCUGAGAGGAUGAUCAGCCACACUGGAACUGGGACACGGUCCAGAGUCCUACGGGAGGCAGCAGUGGGGAAUAUUGGACAAUGGGGGGGAGCCUGAUCCAGCCAUACCGCGUGGGUGAAGAAGGCCUUCGGGUUGUAAAGCCCUUUUUUUGGGAAAGAAAAGCAGCAGGUUAAGACCACGCUGUUCUGACGGUACCCAAAGAAUAAGCACCGGCUAACUUCGUG
RNAcentral lists this ribosomal RNA (492 nucleotides) under uncultured bacterium. Its description in RNAcentral is "partial 16S ribosomal RNA". It matches the Rfam family "Bacterial small subunit ribosomal RNA", at positions 29 to 507 of the family's 1533-position model. The record is from RNAcentral.